GUGAAUGUCGGUAGGUGGCUUUGUCAACAACAGUUGUAGUGCCUAAUUCUUCCGAUAGGCGGAUAUGCCAGCAAUACAAAUAAAACGUAAUCAUCUUUCGUGAAGUUAUAGUAAGAGUGAGUGGGCGUUAAUUAUGAAUACUGUAGAAGAAAGACUACAAAUGCUGAGUGUACAUCAACGGUAUACAUCAUACAAGGGACAGGUUGCGCAGUGCUAUCGCAGCGACCCUUCCAGGUAGUUGUAACACACGGCCAUCAGCUAUAAUUAUCUCAUUUUCUUACGCCGAUUUUAAAAUGGCGUCUUCAAGUUUAGAAUGUUGUAUAAUAAACCCACGAUACUACUGAGAAAGUUACAGCCUGUGAGUCCCUUUAUUUUUAAAAGCUUUUAAGGUUGUUGAUUGAGUUCUCUCAGUCUUAAUUAUAACCCGUCGUGACAUUUUGUUUCAUCAGUCAACGCACACGACUCCACCUACCGAGCAGCUUGUCAUCUAAGAAGCAGACGGAGUAAAGGGAAAACGGUUACAAAUGCAUCACCAGUUAGUUUUUUCUUCGGAAUGAAUUCUGGUUUCAAUAUAUCGGCGUCUUGUUAAUUCAAGUUUAAACAUCACAAAAUAUAAUAUAACCAAUAUGAAGGUAAAGUUGUACCUUGUACUUAAACACCAGGCCAUGAAGAUAUAUUCUUAACGCUGGCGUUACAUGGAUGGUGAGAUUUCACUUAUAUUUAAAUUCACGUUGCUUUGGUGACGAAAUGCAUAAACAUUAUGCAUUUUAUUUGUUUUUCCAGAAAACUAUAUGAACGAGCAGUUAAAUGUUAAAUAUUUACUAUAAAGAAAAACACACUCUUUAAGUACGUAAUUGGUGCAAGUAAGUAGGCUCGUCUAGAAGUAAACUGAGACUAGGAAGGCCUAUAAGCUCAGUUCAUGUCUCGGUACUAGAAUGCAGGAGACAGUCAUUGUAAUAUUAAUAGAAAAUUAAUCGAUUGAAAAUGAGACGGAGUUAAAAUAAUGAUGGUAGCAAAUGAAAAUUAAAUUCACAAAAACUUAAUGAAUUAUUAAGUUCGUGGAAUUCUUGCUACUGCUCAUUUCGAAACCAUUUUGAUCACAUGUCACAUAAAAGAAACCCAAGAUUAAAAUAUUAAUAAUAUGCAUAACUGAAAAAAAUACCUGUUGUUUAUAUGGGUACACAUAGUCUCUCUCACAUGGAAGGAAAGAACACAUAGGCUACAGAAUAUGGAUGUUUGGAAACAGGAUUUUGGGGGAGAAUAUUAGGUCCUAAGAGAAUCACAGCAGGAGCAUACUUAAGAGCUUCAUAAUUGGUGUUUUUUUUCAAAUUAAGCAGUUGACAACACUCACCUGGGAAAUGAUAAAUGUAUACAAAAAUUUAGAUGGAAAACGUGAAUGGAAAAGGCUGCUUAGGAGACCUAAAAUUAUUUGAUAGGGUAGUAUAAAAAUUAAUGUAAAGAAAUAUGUUGACUAAAUUCAACAAGCUCAUGAUAGGCUCUCGUGACGAUAUCUAGUGACGGGGGUGAUGAAAUGUCGGGUUAUAUAAAAGACGAGGAAAGUAUCACCUAGCUAGCUGAUAUACUGCCAGUUCUCAAGGAUUCCGCCCGCUUCAUCGGUUUAGUCUAUUAAGAGCUCUAAGGAGUUCUACACUGAAAUUUGCUAAAGACAUAAAUCAACUGCAGUUCUUUGGAUUGUCUCUCACCUUCUCUGCUGUUCAGUUCUACUCCGUCUCUAUUCUUCAUUAUCACCAUGACAGUAGGUGCCAGAGACUAAUGUAGCUUUAACACGGACAGUUUAUUUCGAAGAUUAAUUAAAAUGUUAUAUCAUCUGUUGUGAAGACGUAGUGUUACAAAUGAAACGGAAGUCUCCUUAGUAGCAGUGGCACUGAAAUAAUUUGGAAGAAGGUGGCCACUCACCCCUUUUAGGUUUUAUCACAACAUUAUCCCGGAGAGAUGAAGGAAAACUCCAAAAAAUAUCACAGUAAUCGGUCUCUGGAGAAGUAAUAAGGACUAGUUCAAACACCGUAACUGAUACAGCCCUCAGACUAUUGUAACAACAGCGGGUUACGAUUGAUUGAUAAUAAUAAAUAAUGUUACCUUACGAAUUAAAUAACUGUGGAACUAAACUGAAUAAUACAGACAUGCGGAUAGAACUGGCUUAACUUGUGUUAUAUGACUGAAUAUCGAAAAAGUAGUUGAAACAUAAGAUUCGCAUGCCUAUAACUUACCUGCGGCUCGUGAAUUGUGAGAACGGUGGCUUACACUGAUUUUAGAUAGUUCUUUUCCUGAGUAAUGAAACGUAGCAAUAAGAAUUAACAAUUAGGACAAAUACCAACUGAGAGCACCUGAAAUGAUUUAAAAUCCUUGUUGUCUAUGAUUUCAGAUGUAAACUCCAGCUUUAAAAAUUAGUUAAGUGCAGAAUAAACUUUGAAAUUGUAAUUUUACUAUACAUUUUAUUUUUAGGCAGGAGUUACAAAUGAAAUUUGCCAAUUAAAUAAUCUAUUUAAGUAAGCCUUCAAAAUACAUGCGAAUCUACCCAAAAAUAAUAUAAGAAUUACAGCAGAUACAAUCAGGCUAAAUUGAAUCAGUUAAUUACGUUGAAGGUUCACGUAAAAAAAUCCUAAGCUAGAUGUGAUAAGCGAACAAACCAUAGAAAAAGAUAAACAAUCUUAAAGCACUGUAUUUUCCAUUCGACUUCAUUAACAAAUCAGUAUGCAGCAGUAAUGUCUACACUAUCCUGACUAGGACUGUACAUGCAGAUUGCCCUGUAACUAUAGACGAGUUCUGCCAUAUGCUGAAAUCUCUGACGAACAAGACGUGUCAUAGUUAAACAAAUGCUAUGCAUAAUGUUUUAUGUUGUUUCGCGCUGCAUGAUGUGGUCUUGCUUGUAUCCCUUCCCUUGCUUCGUUGUUUCUAUCGCCAAGUCAUGUAUUAUGUAGAUGUAAAAACACACUGAACCCACAGGGUUCCUCUGAAGCAGCAUCAGUUGUGGCCGUAACACGAAACGGGGAGGAAGGAAACAGCUGCAAAACACGGAAAAGAAAUCAAUGCAAAUUAUCGUACUGAGAUCCUUUUCGGAUAGAAAACAGAACGAAUAAAAAUCACAUCUAAUUUCUACCGCGUACUGGAGAAAAUAACAUUAUUAAUAAGGCGUAAUUAAUUAAGAUUAACUGGCUUCAUAGAAAUGAGUUCUUCUUGAGGAGCUGACGUAGUUAAGAAAUUUCCAUCUUUAAAGGAACCAGAAGGCUAAGGAUGUUGUUCCGGGUCGUGACGUAAUGAAGACUAGUAGAUACAGUCUUUUCGAAGAAACAGUCUCCAUUAUCCCUACAUUUCAGUCGCAAAAUGGAGACAAUGUUUGUCUCUGAGACGACCUACCUACGAGUCUACAUGGCGUAAUAAACCCGGAACAUCGUUAUCCCCACCGCAGUGAGAGACUCAAAUCCUGCAACACGAAGAUUCAUUGCGCGCUGCUUCACUGCAUCCUGAUCAGAUGAAUCCGACAUCCUGUUUAUUUAAGUUCCAUUUUAGUAUAAUCUAUCCACCUACUUUAGUUUUCUCAAGUAGGAUGCUCUUUACCAAUAAUAUUUUUCAUUUACAAUUGACUAUGCAUUGGCAAACUUUCCUUGAGUUCUACAUGCCCCGCCCAUCUCAUCUUCUUUGAUCGCUGUAAUAAAGAGUGAAUAUUAAGAAGCUCCCUAUUAUGCAAUACUCUUAUCUCCUUGAUAAAACCUUUUUCUUACUUUAAAAUAUUCUGUUCAAACAUCCUCAAACUUUAUCCAAUUCUCUAGGCAAUGCCCAGAACUCCGAUUGGUGUUCUCAAGGUGUUGAAUCAAGAUACGCUUUUCAUUGGGACCCCACCGUAACUUCAUAGUUUGUUGUGUUAGGACUUAUGUCUCAAGGAAUGAGCGUUGUCCACCCUAGACGAAAUUUUAAGUUCUCACAGCGGAGAAUUCAAAGAUGACAGCAUUUAGGGUUGUUCCACCCUGCAGUCCGGCAUAAGUUAUCCGAAAUUUGAGAGGUGCUUACUGCCUCCAUCAUCACUCACGGAUAACCAUCCCGGAAGACAGUCAUCUUCAUUGACCAUCAUGGCCUUUGAUUCUUUCGAAGUUGAACAGCUUUACGUUCCUUUUCUUAUCUUAUAAUUCAUGACCGAAUGUGUAUAAAUCGCAUGCAUUAGUCGGCCACAGAACGAGCUGUGCUAGAGUGUUGACAUAGACCACGCAUUCCUAGUAUAGCCUGCCACUGCAAUGUCUUGAAUCUCGUCUGGAAAGAGAGUAUUGUUGGAGAAAACGUGAGAUGAGGAUAAUAGGUCUUGAUUAAUUAUUAACUUUGCUGCCCGGGAGAAGUAAUUCCCAUCCUCUACCAGUUUACACCCCCUUCCCCCCCACAGCGAAGCUUGUUCCUUCGUAUGCAGCUAUUUCACUGCGUGAAACCAAAAGCUAUCAUAGAAUAAAGUGUAAUGCAGGGUUACUCAGCGGUAUAAAAUAUCAGCAGGGUAUACAGGCUACCACAAAACUCAUCCAAUUUCGUGAUUUAUGGAUUCUGUAGAACGUCUGUGUCAGUGGUUGGUUCUAACAAUUCCAUGUUUGACACUGUCAAUUGUCUGAGGUUGUCUAGUAAUUAGAGUUCUAUUUUAUUCUUCACAAGGUCGUUCAUUUGAUCCUAAACAUUGCUACUAAUAAAAUAAAAACGACAAUUUUAAUAAAUAUAACGAAGAGGGGUGUAGUGCCAACUUCCUAAACGCCUUGUAGACCAAAUAAAGCUAAGACAGUUGUCAAAGUGCAACACAAUUUUCUAAUAAACGUAUAACAACCACACUGACUAUCUGAAUCAAAACGAGACAAGAGUUAGAAAGAGCUGUAUGAGCAGGAUGCUUUGUUUAAAUGCUUUACAAAGCUUGUUGAAAAACUAAAUUUUUAAAUAAAAUGUGGAAAAAUUAAGAAUAAUCUAAUGUAAAUGAUAAAUACAGAGUGGAAUAAAAGGGUGGCUAUUGAAUGAAAAUGAGAAAAGGGUGUGAAAGGAAUAGGUAGUGACUAAUUUAUGACACUGUAACGGUAUUUAUUGGAGAGACUGAGAAAAACUACGAAAAAUCUCAGUCAACUAGAUGGUCUCUUAGCUGAUACUUGUAAAUAAAACAGUAAAAAUUUAGCACGGCGUUUAAAGGUACCACGAAAAGAAAACAUAAUUCGUAUUAGUGGGAAAAAAUUGGUAAAAAUAAUGAUUAUAUCUCUUCUAUCUCAAGAUAGAAAAUUUCGUCAUACUUUAUAAAGAGAUAACACAUUGUGAGAGUGAUGGUUUCGUGUUUUAACGUAUGUACCAUAAUUUGUCGUGACAAAGCCCAUCAACUGUUAAACCUCCGGUCUGGCUAUCAGUGCACCGCCGCGCCACCAAAAUUGGAGAAAUAUAAAAGAACUGUUUUAUUACAAAACAAUAGAAGCAUAAUACUAGCUUUCUAAUAUUAUAAAGUACCUUGCUGUUUGUGGGGUGGGGUAAGACUAUGUCUCAGUAAAGUUGUUGCCCCUAACGUGUCCAUUGUCCCUCCCGCAAAUAUAAGGUCUAUCGGAGUGAGUAUGGAGAAGCGGUGAAAUUAUAGUGACAGGAAAACAGGACCCUGAGAAAAACCUAUCCGAUUGCCACUUUGCCCACAGUAAAUUCCACAUGGACUGACCUAGAAGGGAACCUGGACUGCCGCAGUGAGAAACAGAUUAUGGUAUUGUGGUGCAAUUGUUGGGGAGAUUUAAUAAUAUUGCUUUUCCCCACUACCUGACUUCUGAACCUACCAGAAUUCGCCAAUGAUGACCUGGUAAUUUAUGAAGGUACUAGAUAAAAGUCAAUAACUCUAUUUUACGCUCUAUUCCUAUUUUCACCCUGAGAAACUGAACAAAAUAAAAAUGGAUGUUAAAAAUCCAUUACAGUCGAAAUUUAAGACUCCUUUCUUCUACGAUUACAUUAGAAAAAAUCCGUAGCGUUAAAUAAUAACCUGUUUGUAAGACAACGUAAUUGGUAGAAAAUGUUUGGUAAUCAAUAUUGCAAAGCUCAUCAUGCUUACUGCAAGGAAUUUAAUGUAGAAUUUAAGGCAUUCUUUUAAAGAGUAAAGAAAAAAGUGAUAACUUUUUUUAAGUUAAAAGAAAACUUAAAUUUGUAAUAAGAAUAUUUUUAAUAAAUUAAUAAAUUAUGUAUAAGCGCCUUA
Zootermopsis nevadensis is the source of this 6190-nucleotide non-coding RNA. Lineage: Eukaryota; Metazoa; Arthropoda; Insecta; Blattodea; Termopsidae. The record is from RefSeq and is a predicted model, not a curated record.